Contarinia nasturtii (swede midge) is the source of this 400-nucleotide long non-coding RNA. RefSeq lists it as uncharacterized. The record is from RefSeq and is a predicted model, not a curated record. Lineage: Eukaryota; Metazoa; Arthropoda; Insecta; Diptera; Cecidomyiidae. The transcript has 2 exons.
AUCGUUGUUGAUUAUUUACAAUUUUUUUCUUUUUUAAUUCUCCCUAGGUAAGACAUCUCAAGCCUUAUUUCAGCAAAACUUGCACAGUUGGACAAAUUCAAACCAGUGAUGAUUUUCGCCAUUUGGCACGAAAGCUCACAUUCUUUGUUAUGCUAAAAGAACUAAAGUACUGUAAUAACGUAAGCUUGCUGGAGGUAACAGAAUCAGUAAAAAAUAAGGCCCGUGAAUAUAUAAAAAAAUACAUGUCGAAAUUUGGAAAAACAUACCUUCGUGAUGAAAAUGAAAAAGACUACCAUUUUGAAGAUUUGUAAAUAAAGUGAAGGAACAACAACUCACAUUUUUUUGAAAGAAAUAAAUUAUUUUAUUCAUUAAAAUAAAGUUAAAUAACUUAUCUACUAAA